AGAGUUUGAUCCUGGCUCAGAACUAACGCUUGUGGUGUGUCUUAGUCAUGCGAGUCGAACGAGAAAGUUCUCUUCGGAGAGCGAGUACAGUGGCGGACGGGUGAGUAACACGUGGGUAAUCUGCCCUUAGGUUGGGAACAACACUUCUAACGAGGUGCUAAUACCGAAUAAUAAGGCCGAUUGCGAGAUCGGUUUUUAAAGGUGGCCUCUACUUGUAAGCUGCCGCCUGAGGAUGAGCCCGCGUCGUAUUAGCUUGUUGGUGGGGUAAUGGCCUACCAAGGCAACGAUGCGUAGCCGGCCUGAGAGGGUGAACGGCCACACUGGAACUGAGACAAGGUCCAGUCUCCUACGGGAGCCAGCAGUCUAGAAAUUUGCACAAUCGUCGAAAGGCGGAUGCAGCGACACCACGUGGAGGAUGAAGCCCCUCGGGGUGUAAACUCCUGUCAGUUGGGAAGAAGGCGCGAGUGUUAAUACCACUUGUUGCUUGACGGUACCUUCAGAGGAAGCUCCGGCUAACUACGUGCCAGCAGCCGCGGUAAUACGUAGGGAGCGAGCGUUGUUCGGAUUUACUGGGCGUAAAGAGCACGUAGGCGGGCAUGCAAGUCGGUUGUGAAAUCCUCUGGCUCAACCAGAGAACUGCAAUCGAAACUGCAUGCCUUGAGUCCAGCAGAGGAAAUCGGAAUCUUAGGUGUAGCGGUGAAAUGCGUAGAUAUCUAAGAGAACAUCAGUGGCGAAGGCGGAUUUCUGGGCUGGCACUGACGCUGAGGUGCGAAAGCUGAGGUAGCGAACAGGAUUAGAUACCCUGGUAGUCUCAGCCGUAAACGAUGGGUACUAGGUGUUGGGGGACAUUGACCCCCUCAGUGCCGUAGCUAACGCAUUAAGUACCCCGCCUGGGGAGUACGGCCGCAAGGCUGAAACUCAAAGGAAUUGACGGGGACCCGCACAAGCAGUGGAGCAUGUUGCUUAAUUCGAUGCAACGCGAAGAACCUUACCAGGGCUUGACAUCUGGGGAACCUUUUAGAAAUAAAAGGGUGCCUUCGGGAACUCCAAGACAGGUGCUGCAUGGCUGUCGUCAGCUCGUGUCGUGAGAUGUUGG
This 1096-nucleotide ribosomal RNA is filed under the name marine metagenome. Its description in RNAcentral is "bacterial SSU rRNA". It matches the Rfam family "Bacterial small subunit ribosomal RNA", at positions 8 to 1078 of the family's 1533-position model. The record is from RNAcentral.